GACGAACGCUGGCGGCGUGCUUAACACAUGCAAGUCGAACGGAAAGGCCCUGCUUUUGUGGGGUGCUCGAGUAGCGAACGGGUGAGUAACACGUGAGUAACCUUCCCUUGACUUUGGGAUAACUUCAGGAAACUGGGGCUAAUACCGGAUAGGAGCUCCUGCUUCAUGGUGGGGUGUGGACUGUUUCGUCGGUUGGGGUGGGACUGGCGGCUUAUCCGCUAGGUGGUGGGGGAGGGGCUUACCAAGGCUGUGACGGGUAGCCUGCCUGAGAGGGUGGACGGCCACAUAGGGAGUGAGAGACGGCCCGGACCCAUACGGGCGGCAGGAAGGAGGAAAAUAGCACACAGGGCGGAAGCCUGAUGGAGCGACGCCGCGUGCGGGAUGAAUGAAGUCGCGUUGUAAACAGCUUUCGCCUUUGACGAAGAGUGAGUGACUGUAAUCGAUAAAGAAGCACCGGCUAACUACGUG
Molecule: ribosomal RNA, 468 nt
Filed under: uncultured bacterium
Lineage: Bacteria
Description: partial 16S ribosomal RNA
Rfam family: Bacterial small subunit ribosomal RNA
Source: RNAcentral